UCCGUAGGUGAACCUUGCGGAAGGAUCAUUACCGAGUGCGGGAACCCAGUCGGGUCCCAAUCUCCCACCCGUGUCUACCACACCUAGUGUUGCUUUGGCGGGCCCACUCCUCCGGUGUUCCGCCGGGGGGGUCGUCCCGGGGCGCGGUGUGCCCCCGGGGCCCGUGCCCGCCAGAGGCACUCACUGUGAACGCUUUUGUGAAUGCGAGGAUUGUCUGAGUGACGAAAUGCAAUCGUUCAAAACUUUCAACAAUGGAUCUCUUGGUUCCGGCAUCGAUGAAGAACGCAGCGAAAUGCGAUAAGUAAUGUGAAUUGCAGAAUUCCGUGAAUCAUCGAAUCUUUGAACGCACAUUGCGCCCUCUGGUAUUCCGGGGGGCAUGCCUGUCCGAGCGUCAUUGCGAACCCUCAAGCACGGCUUGUGUGUUGGGCCGCCGUCCCCUCGUUUGGAGGGGACGGGCCUGAAAGGCAGCGGCGGCGUCGCGUCCGGUCCUCGAGCGUAUGGGGCUCUGUCACGCGCUCAAGGAGGGGUCCGGCCGGGGCCAUAGCCUCUGAAGGUCAAUUCUUCCAAGGUUGACCUCGGAUCAGGUAGGAGUACCCGCUGAACUUAAGCAUAUCAAUAAGCGGAGGA
Molecule: non-coding RNA, 627 nt
Filed under: Thermomyces lanuginosus
Lineage: Eukaryota; Fungi; Ascomycota; Eurotiomycetes; Eurotiales; Trichocomaceae
Also listed under: 4 other names
Description: eukaryotic LSU rRNA
Rfam family: 5.8S ribosomal RNA (bases 241-394)
Source: RNAcentral